RNAcentral lists this transfer RNA (67 nucleotides) under Heterocephalus glaber (naked mole-rat). Lineage: Eukaryota; Metazoa; Chordata; Mammalia; Rodentia; Bathyergidae. The record is from Rfam by way of RNAcentral.
GGGUGUAUCUGAGUGGUAGAGUGCACAUCUAGCAUAUGUAAGGCCCUGGAUUCAAUCCCCAGCACCC